This is a long non-coding RNA of Sebastes umbrosus (honeycomb rockfish), 1138 nucleotides long. RefSeq lists it as uncharacterized. NCBI's taxonomy places the organism in Eukaryota, Metazoa, Chordata, Actinopteri, Perciformes, Sebastidae. The transcript is spliced from 5 exons. The record is from RefSeq and is a predicted model, not a curated record.
ACUUUUAGAUAUGCGGCCUCAAUGGAUGACAUCUGGGAAGAAGAGGAACGUCAUACAGACCAAUUGAGAGAACAUCUUCUCUGCGCUGAAGCUCUGAGAGAAAAGCAGCUGAAGAACAACAGGGAGGCUCAUCAGAAGCAGCUCUGAGACAAGUUUUAAGACAAGCAGAGGAUGCUGGACGAACUCAGAAUGCGUAAGGAGAUCUUUCACAUCCAUGUCAUGUUCUUGGAUUGAGUCACUGACCUUCUAACCUCUCAGCCAUUGGUUCCCAUCACCCACUGUUAAGAGUUCCUAUGAUUUCAAGCUGUAACAGCCCCCGUCAUCCAGUGAUGAUACCACAGAGAUUGGACUGAUUACUCACAACAAUGAGGACGCCUAUAGGAAGAAGGAGAGGGACCUAUUCAUACGGCGUCAAGACAAUAACCUCCCUAAAUCCAUCCCGAAAUGUUGAGAAGAUAAUUUUGGAUUUUAGGAAGACCAAAACUGUUCAGCCACCAGUUUGCAUCAAUUAUGUCCCUGUUGAAAUAGUGAAUAACAUCAGAUUCUUAGGCAUUCAGAUCUCUCCUGGUCUCUAAACAUCAGUUGAGUUGUCAAAAAGGCACAACAGAGACGCUACUUUACAGAUACUUUCUGCGAUGCCUUAAAAAAAUAUGGAAUGUCUACAAAAACCCUGGUCAAUUUCUAUCAGGCAACCAGAGAAAGCAUCCUUACUGGAAGCAUACUGGUGUGGUUUGGCAACCUGACUCAACAAGACCACAAACAACUGAGGAAGCCAUUUGAAAACAGCUUCGAAAAAUCAGGAACAUCACUGCCACAGAUUCAGGACAUUUACAUGCAUACCUUCUGCUGCAGAAGGAAGGGCCUAAGUGGACAAGGACAUCAGCCACCCAGCACACAUGGACACAUAGACUACUGAACAGCAAGCACUUUAAAUAACACAGGGAUUUAUUUCUUAUUGUAGAAUUUCUCCUUCUUAUUAUUGUUGUCUCUUAUUUACUCAUCUUAUAUAUCAGCCGGGUCUCAUGGGAAGGCUUAUAAAUAGCAUGACAUUACACGGGCAUUCUGCGUGUCACAAGGACGCAUUUUAGCCUUUUAGCGUAUCAUUUGUACGCCAUGCAACAAAACUACGGCAACUACG